UGAUCCUGGCUCAGGAUGAACGCUAGCGGCAGGCCUAAUACAUGCAAGCCGAACGGUAACAGGUUCUUCGGAACGCUGACGAGUGGCGGACGGGUGCGUAACGCGUAUGCAACUUGCCCACUACUGGGAAAUAGCCCGGGGAAACUCGGAUUAAUGUCCCAUAAUGCAGGGGAUUCGCAUGGAUCUAUUGUUAAAGAUUUAUUGGUAGUGGAUGGGCAUGCGUAGGAUUAGCUAGUUGGUAGUGUAAUGGACUACCAAGGCUACGAUCCUUAGGGGGUCUGAGAGGAUGAUCCCCCACACUGGUACUGAGAUACGGACCAGACUCCUACGGGAGGCAGCAGUAGGGAAUAUUGGGCAAUGGGUGAGAGCCUGACCCAGCCAUGCCGCGUGCAGGAAGACGGCCCUCAGGGUUGUAAACUGCUUUUCUACGGGAAGAAAGAGGUUGUGCGCAACCAGUUGACGGUACCGUAGGAAUAAGCACCGGCUAACUCCGUGCCAGCAGCCGCGGUAAUACGGAGGGUGCAAGCGUUGUCCGGAUUUAUUGGGUUUAAAGGGUACGUACGCGGGCGUCUACGUCAGUGGUGAAAGCCUACCGCUUAACGGUGGAAUUGCCAUUGAUACUGGAUGUCUUGAGUAUAGUACAGGUGGGCGGAACUUCAUGGUGUAACGGUGAAAUGCAUAGAUACCAUGAGGAACACCGAUAGGGAA
This 708-nucleotide ribosomal RNA is filed under the name uncultured organism. RNAcentral's name for it is "bacterial SSU rRNA". It matches the Rfam family "Bacterial small subunit ribosomal RNA", at positions 14 to 719 of the family's 1533-position model. The record is from RNAcentral.